Molecule: unclassified non-coding RNA, 512 nt
Filed under: Hevea brasiliensis (rubber tree)
Lineage: Eukaryota; Viridiplantae; Streptophyta; Magnoliopsida; Malpighiales; Euphorbiaceae
Source: RNAcentral
GAGAGAUCAAUUUUGGCAGAAAACAUUGCUUAUGUGGUUGGCAAAAUUUGAGUAAUUGAUAGAUCUUAGGGUUUAGGUUAAGUGGAAACAGGAAUACGGUUUAGAAAUCUAUUAGGGUCUGAUCUGAUUUGAGCACAAAUAAGAGGGUUUGAGGGAAUCUGAAAAGCAAUAAAAUGGGGAUUGCAGAGUUAUGUUUUAGAAUGUUUAAUUUGAUGAUCAAGGCUAGGAAAUAUGGGAGGAACUAGGGUUUGUGAUGAUGGGACAAUGAAGAAUAGUAUGAGAUUGGAAUAUGGUUAGGGCAAAAAGAUAUGGUGAGCUACUUUAGUGUUAUGAAUUUAGAAAGAAUUGAAAGGCAAGAAGAGAUAGGGAGAAUAGAAAAGAAUAAUUACUGGAGGCUCAUGUUGCUUCGAAAUAAAAUCCCAUUGCUCAUAAUAGGAUUACUAAAAGCCUAAAGAUAAUACUCCCUCUUUACCAUAAAAAUAGACUUACUUCUAUUUUCACAUGGAUUAAGA